Molecule: ribosomal RNA, 468 nt
Filed under: uncultured bacterium
Lineage: Bacteria
Description: partial 16S ribosomal RNA
Rfam family: Bacterial small subunit ribosomal RNA
Source: RNAcentral
GACGAACGCUGGCGGCGUGCUUAACACAUGCAAGUCGAACGGAAAGGCCCUGCUUUUGUGGGGUGCUCGAGUGGCGAACGGGUGAGUAACACGUGAGUAACCUGCCCUUGACUUUGGGAUAACUUCAGGAAACUGGGGCUAAUACCGGAUAGGAGCUCCUGCUGCAUGGUGGGGGUUGGAAAGUUUCGGCGGUUGGGGAUGGACUCGCGGCUUAUCAGCUUGUUGGUGGGGUAGUGGCUUACCAAGGCUUUGACGGGUAGCCGGCCUGAGAGGGUGACCGGCCACAAUGGGACUGAGAUACGGCCCAGACUGCUACGGGAGGCAGCAGUGGGGAAUAUUGCACAAUGGGCGGAAGCCUGAUGCAGCAACGCCGCGUGCGGGAUGACGGCCUUCGGGUCGUAAACCGCUUUCGCAUGUGACGAAGCGUGAGUGACGGUAAUGGGUAAAGAAGCACCGGCUAACUACGUG